RNAcentral lists this ribosomal RNA (169 nucleotides) under uncultured bacterium. Its description in RNAcentral is "partial 16S ribosomal RNA". It matches the Rfam family "Bacterial small subunit ribosomal RNA", at positions 338 to 524 of the family's 1533-position model. The record is from RNAcentral.
CCUACGGGAGGCAGCAGUGGGGAAUAUCGGACAAUGGGCGAAAGCCUGAUCCAGCAAUGCCGCGUGAGUGAUGAAGGCCUUAGGGUUGUAAAGCUCUUUUACCAGGGAUGAUAAUGACAGUACCUGGAGAAUAAGCUCCGGCUAACUCCGUGCCAGCAGCCGCGGUAAU